Molecule: ribosomal RNA, 158 nt
Filed under: uncultured bacterium
Lineage: Bacteria
Description: partial 16S ribosomal RNA
Rfam family: Bacterial small subunit ribosomal RNA
Source: RNAcentral
CAGCAGUGGGGAAUAUUGGACAAUGGGCGCAAGCCUGAUCCAGCCAUGCCGCGUGAGUGAUGAAGGCCUUAGGGUUGUAAAGCUCUUUUGUCCGGGAAGAUAAUGACUGUACCGGAAGAAUAAGCCCCGGCUAACUUCGUGCCAGCAGCCGCGGUAAU